UACGUAGGGUGCGAGCGUUAAUCGGAAUUACUGGGCGUAAAGCGUGCGCAGGCGGUUUUGUAAGCCAGAUGUGAAAUCCCCGGGCUUAACCUGGGAAUGGCAUUUGGGACUGCAAGGCUUGAGUGCGGCAGAGGAGACUGGAAUUCCUGGUGUAGCAGUGAAAUGCGUAGAGAUCGGAAAGAACACCAACGGCGAAAGCACUCUGCUGGGCCGACACUGACACUGAGAGACGAAAGCUAGGGGAGCGAAUGGG
RNAcentral lists this ribosomal RNA (253 nucleotides) under uncultured bacterium. Its description in RNAcentral is "partial 16S ribosomal RNA". It matches the Rfam family "Bacterial small subunit ribosomal RNA", at positions 524 to 776 of the family's 1533-position model. The record is from RNAcentral.